GAUGAACGCUGGCGGCGUGCCUAAUACAUGCAAGUCGAGCGAACGGACGAUAAGCUUGCUCCUCUGCUGUUAGCGGCGGACGGGUGAGUAACACGUGGAUAACCUACCUAUAUUACUGGGAUAACUUCGGGAAACCGGAGCUAAUACCGGCUGAUAUUUUGAACCGCUUGGUUCAAAAGUGAAAGACGGUCUUGCUGUCACUUAUAGCUGGAUCCGCGCUGCAUUAGCUAGUUGGUAAGGUAACGGCUAACCAAGGCAACGAUGCAUAGCCGACCUGAGAGGAUGAUCGGCCACACUGGAACUGAGACACGGUCCAGACUCCUACGGGAGGCAGCAGUAGGGAAUAUUGGGCAAUGGGCGAAAGCCUGACGGAGCAACGCCGCGUGAGUGAUGAAGGUCUUCGGAUCGUAAAACUCUGUUAUUGGGGAAGAACAGAUGUGUAAGUAACUGUGGACAUCUUGACGGUACCUAAACAGAAAGCCACGGCUAACUACGUG
RNAcentral lists this ribosomal RNA (497 nucleotides) under uncultured bacterium. RNAcentral describes it as "partial 16S ribosomal RNA". It matches the Rfam family "Bacterial small subunit ribosomal RNA", at positions 28 to 507 of the family's 1533-position model. The record is from RNAcentral.